RNAcentral lists this ribosomal RNA (291 nucleotides) under uncultured bacterium. RNAcentral describes it as "partial 16S ribosomal RNA". It matches the Rfam family "Bacterial small subunit ribosomal RNA", at positions 505 to 796 of the family's 1533-position model. The record is from RNAcentral.
GUGCCAGCCGCCGCGGUAAUACGUAGGGGGCAAGCGUUGUCCGGAAUUAUUGGGCGUAAAGCGCGCGCAGGCGGUCAUGUAAGUCUGGUGUUUAAUCCCGAAGCUCAACUUCGGGUCGCAUCGGAAACUGGGUGACUUGAGUGCAGAAGAGGAGAGUGGAAUUCCACGUGUAGCGGUGAAAUGCGUAGAGAUGUGGAGGAACACCAGUGGCGAAGGCGACUCUCUGGGCUGUAACUGACGCUGAGGCGCGAAAGCGUGGGGAGCAAACAGGAUUAGAUACCCCUGUAGUCU